UACGGGGGGUGCAAACGUUGUUCGGUGUCAUUGGGCUUAAAGGGUGCGUAGGCGGCCAGGUAAGUCAGGUGUGAAAUCCCCCGGCUCAACCGGGGAAUUGCGCUUGAUACUGCCUGGCUCGAGGGCCAAAGGGGAGAGCGGAACUCCAGGUGUAGCGGUAAAAUGCGUAGAUAUCUGGGGGAACGCCGAAGGCGAAGGCAGCUCUCUGGGUGGUUCCUGACGCUGAGUGCACGAAAGCUGGGGGAGCAAACAGGAUUAGAUACCCGAGUA
RNAcentral lists this ribosomal RNA (270 nucleotides) under uncultured prokaryote. RNAcentral's name for it is "partial 16S ribosomal RNA". It matches the Rfam family "Bacterial small subunit ribosomal RNA", at positions 524 to 792 of the family's 1533-position model. The record is from RNAcentral.